Suncus etruscus (white-toothed pygmy shrew) is the source of this 103-nucleotide small nucleolar RNA. RefSeq annotates it as small nucleolar RNA U13. NCBI's taxonomy places the organism in Eukaryota, Metazoa, Chordata, Mammalia, Eulipotyphla, Soricidae. The record is from RefSeq and is a predicted model, not a curated record. The transcript has a single exon.
AUCUCUUUCCAGUUUAUCAGUAUGGUGAUUGGGUAUUCACUGUUUGUGUGGCAUGUUCCUCCCUUAAGUCUUGUUAUAGUGUCAGCAUAUUACCCAUCUGACA